AAGAUCCGGAGAUAAACGACUAGUGAUAGAGGCGCGGAAACUGAGGCUCCGGGCGGGUCAGGCGGUAACAAGAGUUCUAUAUAUAAUAAUAGCAACAAUAGUUGUAUAUAUACGGUGAGUUAACUGAGGCAGUCGGAGAGCAAAACUCAUUUGCGCACAGCUGCGGACAGCUGAGAAGUGGUCAAGUCGGAAGUGGAACGCAGCUCAGAAGAGUAUAAAGUGAAACGAAGUCCCUCUGCUACCCAUACAUGGCCUUCUGCUCACCUCCCAGAAGCAGCUG
Long non-coding RNA from Budorcas taxicolor (takin), 280 nucleotides. RefSeq lists it as uncharacterized. The record is from RefSeq and is a predicted model, not a curated record. The transcript is spliced from 3 exons. NCBI's taxonomy places the organism in Eukaryota, Metazoa, Chordata, Mammalia, Artiodactyla, Bovidae.